ACUCCUACGGGAGGCAGCAGUGGGGAAUAUUGCACAAUGGGCGCAAGCCUGAUCCAGCCAUGCCGCGUGAGUGAUGAAGGCCCUAGGGUUGUAAAGCUCUUUCACCGGUGAAGAUAAUGAUGGUAACCGGAGAAGAAGCCCAGGCCUGAAACUUCGUGCCAGCAGCCGCGGUAAUACGAAGGGGGCUAGCGUUGUUCGGAUUUACUGGGCGUAAAGCGCACGUAGGCGGACUUUUAAGUCAGGGGUGAAAUCCCGGGGCUCAACCCCGGAACUGCCUUUGAUACUGGAAGUCUUGAGUAUGGUAGAGGUGAGUGGAAUUCCGAGUGUAGAGGUGAAAUUCGUAGAUAUUCGGAGGAACACCAGUGGCGAAGGCGGCUCACUGGACCAUUACUGACGCUGAGGUGCGAAAGCGUGGGGAGCAAACAGGAUUAGAUA
Molecule: ribosomal RNA, 435 nt
Filed under: uncultured bacterium
Lineage: Bacteria
Description: bacterial SSU rRNA
Rfam family: Bacterial small subunit ribosomal RNA
Source: RNAcentral